Molecule: ribosomal RNA, 239 nt
Filed under: uncultured Lactobacillus sp.
Lineage: Bacteria; Bacillati; Bacillota; Bacilli; Lactobacillales; Lactobacillaceae
Description: partial 16S ribosomal RNA
Rfam family: Bacterial small subunit ribosomal RNA
Source: RNAcentral
AACCUGCCCAAGAGAUCGGGAUAACACCUGGAAACAGAUGCUAAUACCGGAUAACAACAGAUGGUGCCUAUCAACUGUUUAAAAGAUGGUUCUGCUAUCACUCUUGGAUGGACCUGCGGUGCAUUAGCUAGUUGGUAGGGUAACGGCCUACCAAGGCGAUGAUGCAUAGCCGAGUUGAGAGACUGAUCGGCCACAUUGGGACUGAGACACGGCCCAAACUCCUACGGGAGGCAGCAGCA